GUGGGGAAUUUUCCACAAUGGGCGAAAGCCUGAUGGAGCAACGCCGCGUGUGUGAUGAAGGUCUUCGGAUCGUAAAGCACUUUCGACCGGGACGAAAAACCUCUGUCUAACAAAUAGGGGCCUGACGGUACCGGGAGAAGAAGCACCGGCUAACUCUGUGCCAGCAGCCGCGGUAAUACAGAGGGUGCAAGCGUUGUUCGGAAUUAUUGGGCGUAAAGCGCGUGUAGGCGGCUUAUCAAGUCAGAUGUGAAAGCCCUCGGCUCAACCGAGGAAGUGCGUCUGAAACUGGUGAGCUUGAGUGUCGGAGAGGGUAGCGGAAUUCCGCAAGUAGAGGUGAAAUUCGUAGAGAUGCGGAGGAACACCGGUGGCGAAGGCGGCUACCUGGACGACGACUGACGCUGAGACGCGAAAGCGUGGGAAGCAAACAGGAUUAGAAACCCUAGUAGUCC
Molecule: ribosomal RNA, 449 nt
Filed under: uncultured bacterium
Lineage: Bacteria
Description: bacterial SSU rRNA
Rfam family: Bacterial small subunit ribosomal RNA
Source: RNAcentral